GGGACGCUUAAGUGGUUUUAACCUUCUUAUUAUGUACUUUCUUCUUUUUCAAAAAAGUACAAAAAAUUACUUUUUUAAGACCAUUUUUCCAUUGUUAGGUGUGUCAAAUGAAUGAUAAUGUGUGUUAUGCUAGUGGAGAAGGUGGUGGAUAAACUAUAAUUUAUAAAAGUAAAUGGAAUAAAUAAAAGUUAGUGUGAGAAAUUAAUAUAAAAAUGAGGUGAAAAAGUAGAUAGAGAAAAUGAAGAAGGAAAUAAUAAAAACAAAAGGUUGUUGGAGAAGGUGGUGAAUAAAAUAUAAUUUAAAAAAGCGAAUAGAAAAAAUAGUUGUAAAAAAUAAGUGAAAAAAUUAAUAUAAAAGUGGGUGAAAAAAUUAGAUAAAGAAAGUUGAUGGAAGAAAUAAUAAAAAAAUAUUAAUAGAGAAUUAGGUGAAAAAAGUUGGUGUAGAAAAUAAUAUAAAAAAUGGGUAGAGAGAGUAAAUAAAGAAAAUGGAUGAAGAAAAUAAUAAAAAAAAGUUAAUGAAGAAGGUAACGAAUAAAAUAAAAUAAAAUUUAUAAAAGUAAAUGAAAUAAUUAAAAGUUAGUGUGAUAAAUUAAUAUAAAAAUAAAAUGGAAAAAUAAAUGGAAAAGAUGGAUCAAGAAAAUAAUAAAAAUAAAAGGUUAUUGGAGAAGGGGUGAAUAAAAUAAUGAUAAUAACAUAUCAUCUCUCAAAUAUCAUAUUCUAAAAUAGACAAUGGUAACAUAAGAUUGGAAAGCUGAGUCUCAGAAAAGUGAUGGUCUUCAAUGUUGAAAGAAGUAGCGCAUUACUCUAUCUUCAAAGAAUCAUUCAACUUUUUCUCCAUUUCAUAAAAAUACAUAGAAGAAAUUGGGUUUGAAUGAUAUUCANN
Molecule: long non-coding RNA, 882 nt
Filed under: Vigna radiata
Lineage: Eukaryota; Viridiplantae; Streptophyta; Magnoliopsida; Fabales; Fabaceae
Description: long non-coding RNA (VRAD_LNC004005)
Source: RNAcentral